Molecule: ribosomal RNA, 906 nt
Filed under: Strigula multiformis
Lineage: Eukaryota; Fungi; Ascomycota; Dothideomycetes; Strigulales; Strigulaceae
Description: partial large subunit ribosomal RNA
Rfam family: Eukaryotic large subunit ribosomal RNA
Source: RNAcentral
AACGGGGAUUGCCUCAGUAACGGCGAGUGAAGCGGCAACAGCUCAAAUUUGAAAUCUGGCGCCCCCGGCGCCCGAGUUGUAAUUUGCAGAGGAUGCCUCGGUGCGAGGCCGCGCCCAAGUCCCUUGGAACAGGGCGCCUCAGAGGGUGAGAGUCCCGUUGGGCCGCGGCCGACCUCCGUGUGAGGCUCCUUCGACGAGUCGAGUUGUUUGGGAAUGCAGCUCUAAGCGGGAGGUAAAUUUCUCCUAAGGCUAAAUACCGGCCAGAGACCGAUAGCGCACAAGUAGAGUGAUCGAAAGAUGAAAAGCACUUUGGAAAGAGAGUUAAAAAGCACGUGAAAUUGUUGAAAGGGAAGCGCUUGCGGCCAGACUUGCCGCGGCGGUUCGGCCGGGUGCUCCACCCGGCUUACUCCGCCGCGUCGGGCCAGCAUCAGCUUGGGCGGUCGGACAAAGGCCUGGGGAACGUAGCUCCCUCCGGGGAGUGUUAUAGCCCCUCGCGCAAUGCGGCCUGCCCGGGCUGAGGCUCGCGUUCUGCUAGGAUGCUGGCGUAAUGGCCGCAAGCGGCCCGUCUUGAAACACGGACCAAGGAGUCUACCAUCUGUGCGAGUGUUUGGGUGUCAAACCCGUGCGCGUAAUGAAAGUGAACGGAGGCGGGAGCCCCCGGGCGCACCGUCGACCGAUCCUGAUGUCUUCGGAUGGAUUUGAGUAAGAGCACAGCUGGUGGGACCCGAAAGGUGAGCAACCAAUCCUUUUCUUCUACCUUAUAAAUGAAAGCUAACAGAAAUUCCCCAGAUGGUGAACUAUGCGUAAACAGGGCGAAGCCAGAGGAAACUCUGGUGGAGGCUCGCAGCGGUUCUGACGUGCAAAUCGAUCGUCAAAUUCGCGCAUAGGGGCGAAAGACUAAUCGAA